GAAAUGCGAUACGUAGUGUGAAUUGCAGAAUUCAGUGAAUCAUCGAAUCUUUGAACGCACAUUGCGCCCUUUGGUAUUCCAAAGGGCAUGCCUGUUCGAGCGUCAUUUGUACCCUCAAGCUUUGCUUGGUGUUGGGCGUCUUUUGUCUUUGGCCUCGCCCAAAGACUCGCCUUAAAACGAUUGGCAGCCGGCCUACUGGUUUCGCAGCGCAGCACAUUUUUGCGCUUGCAAUCAGCACAAGAACGGCAAUCCAUCAAGACUACAUUUUUACGUUUGACCUCGGAUCAGGUAGGUAUACCCGCUGAACUUAAGC
This 313-nucleotide unclassified non-coding RNA is filed under the name plant metagenome. RNAcentral describes it as "partial contains 5.8S ribosomal RNA, internal transcribed spacer 2, and large subunit ribosomal RNA". The stretch from base 1 to 105 matches the Rfam family "5.8S ribosomal RNA", at positions 50 to 154 of the family's 154-position model. The record is from RNAcentral.